CCUACGGGUGGCAGCAGUAGGGAAUAUUGCUCAAUGGGGGAAACCCUGAAGCAGCAACGCCGCGUGGAGGAUGAAGGUUUUCGGAUUGUAAACCUCUUUUGUUAGAGAAGAUAAUGACGGUAUCUAACGAAUAAGCACCGGCUAAUUCCGUGCCAGCAGCCGCGGUAAUACGGCGGGUGCAAGCGUUAUUCGGAAUCACUGGGCGUAAAGAGCGCGUAGGCGGGAUAGCAAGUCAGAGGUGAAAUCCUAUGGCUUAACCAUAGAACUGCAUUUGAAACUGUUAGACUAGAGUGUGGGAGAGGUAGGUGGAAUUCUUGGUGUAGGGGUAAAAUGCGUAGAGAUCAAGAGGAAUACUCAUUGCGAAGGCGGCCUGCUAGAACAUAACUGACGCUGAUGCGCGAAAGCGUGGGGAGCAAACAGGAUUAGAUACCCUUGUAGUC
RNAcentral lists this ribosomal RNA (440 nucleotides) under uncultured bacterium. RNAcentral's name for it is "partial 16S ribosomal RNA". It matches the Rfam family "Bacterial small subunit ribosomal RNA", at positions 338 to 795 of the family's 1533-position model. The record is from RNAcentral.